AUUGAACGCUGGCGGCAGGCCUAACACAUGCAAGUCGAAUGGUAACAGGAAACAGCUUGCUGUUUCGCUGACGAGUGGCGGACGGGUGAGUAAUGUCUGGGAAACUGCCUGAUGGAGGGGGAUAACUACUGGAAACGGUAGCUAAUACCGCAUAACGUCGCAAGACCAAAGAGGGGGACCUUCGGGCCUCUUGCCAUCAGAUGUGCCCAGAUGGGAUUAGCUAGUAGGUGGGGUAACGGCUCACCUAGGCGACGAUCCCUAGCUGGUCUGAGAGGAUGACCAGCCACACUGGAACUGAGACACGGUCCAGACUCCUACGGGAGGCAGCAGUGGGGAAUAUUGCACAAUGGGCGCAAGCCUGAUGCAGCCAUGCCGCGUGUAUGAAGAAGGCCUUCGGGUUGUAAAGUACUUUCAGCGGGAAGGAAGGGAGUAAAGUUAAUACCUGUGCUCAUUGACGUUACCCGCAGAAGAAGCACCGGCUAACUCCGU
This 489-nucleotide ribosomal RNA is filed under the name uncultured bacterium. RNAcentral's name for it is "partial 16S ribosomal RNA". It matches the Rfam family "Bacterial small subunit ribosomal RNA", at positions 30 to 506 of the family's 1533-position model. The record is from RNAcentral.